Molecule: ribosomal RNA, 404 nt
Filed under: uncultured bacterium
Lineage: Bacteria
Description: partial 16S ribosomal RNA
Rfam family: Bacterial small subunit ribosomal RNA
Source: RNAcentral
GACGAACGCUGGCGGCGUGCUUAACACAUGCAAGUCGAGCGGAGCGGCGAACGGGUGCGUAACGCGUGAGUAACUGCCCCCCUCCCUGGGAUAACAGUUGGAAACGGCUGCUAAUACCGGAUAGGGGGGGAUGACUCACGUCCUAUCAGCUUGUUGGUGGGGGAGUGGCCUACCAAGGCGACGACGGGUAGCCGGCCUGCGGGGGGGACCGGCCAGAUUGGGCUAAGAGACGGCCCAAACUCCUACGGGAGGCAGGAGGGGGGAAUAUUGCACAAGGGGGGAGACCCUGAUGGAGCAACGCGCGUGCGGGAUGACGGCCUUCGGGUGGUAAACCGCUUUCAGCCAUGACGCGGUAGUGGCAGAAGAAGCACCGGCUAACUACGUGCCAGCAGCCGCGGUAAUAC